This 254-nucleotide ribosomal RNA is filed under the name uncultured bacterium. RNAcentral's name for it is "partial 16S ribosomal RNA". It matches the Rfam family "Bacterial small subunit ribosomal RNA", at positions 524 to 776 of the family's 1533-position model. The record is from RNAcentral.
UACGAAGGGGGCUAGCGUUGUUCGGAAUUACUGGGCGUAAAGCGCGCGUAGGCGGCUUUGCAAGCCAGAGGUGAAAUGCCUGAGCUCAACUUAGGAAUUGCCUUUGGGACUGUGAGGCUUCGAGGACGGAAGAGGUGAGUGGAAUUCCCAGUGUAGAGGUGAAAUUCGUAGAUAUUGGGAAGAACACCAGUGGCGAAGGCGGCUCACUGGUCCGUUUCUGACGCUAAAGCGCGAAAGCGUGGGGAUCAAACAGG